UAGAAUGAACCGGCGAGUUACGAUCCCGUGCGAGGUUAAGCUGAAGAGGCGGAGCCGCAGCGAAAGCGAGUCUGAAUAGGGCGUUUAGUACGUGGUCGUAGACCCGAAACCAGGUGAUCUACCCAUGUCCAGGGUGAAGUUCAGGUAACACUGAAUGGAGGCCCGAACCCACGCACGUUGAAAAGUGCGGGGAUGAGGUGUGGGUAGCGGAGAAAUUCCAAUCGAACCUGGAGAUAGCUGGUUCUCCCCGAAAUAGCUUUAGGGCUAGCCUUAAGUGUAAGAGUCUUGGAGGUAGAGCACUGAUUGGACUAGGGGUCCUCAUCGGAUUACCGAAUUCAGUCAAACUCCGAAUGCCAAUGACUUAUCCUUAGGAGUCAGACUGCGAGUGAUAAGAUCCGUAGUCAAAAGGGAAACAGCCCAGACCGCCAGCUAAGGUCCCAAAGUGUGUAUUAAGUGGAAAAGGAUGUGGAGUUGCUUAGACAACUAGGAUGUUGGCUUAGAAGCAGCCACCAUUUAAAGAGUGCGUAAUAGCUCACUAGUCGAGUGACUCUGCGCCGAAAAUGUACCGGGGCUAAAUACACCACCGAAGCUGCGGAUUGAUACCAAUGGUAUCAGUGGUAGGGGAGCGUUCUAAGGACAGUGAAGUCAGACCGGAAGGACUGGUGGAGUGCUUAGAAGUGAGAAUGCCGGUAUGAGUAGCGAAAGACGGGUGAGAAUCCCGUCCACCGAAUGCCUAAGGUUUCCUGAGGAAGGCUCGUCCGCUCAGGGUUAGUCAGGACCUAAGCCGAGGCCGACAGGCGUAGGCGAUGGACAACAGGUUGAUAUUCCUGUACCACCUCUUUAUCGUUUGAGCAAUGGAGGGACGCAGAAGGAUAGAAGAAGCGUGCGAUUGGUUGUGCACGUCCAAGCAGUUAGGCUGAUAAGUAGGCAAAUCCGCUUAUCGUGAAGGCUGAGCUGUGAUGGGGAAGCUCCUUAUGGAGCGAAGUCUUUGAUUCCCCGCUGCCAAGAAAAGCUUCUAGCGAGAUAAAAGGUGCCUGUACCGCAAACCGACACAGGUAGGCGAGGAGAGAAUCCUAAGGUGUGCGAGAGAACUCUGGUUAAGGAACUCGGCAAAAUGACCCCGUAACUUCGGGAGAAGGGGUGCUUUCUUAACGGAAAGCCGCAGUGAAUAGGCCCAAGCGACUGUUUAGCAAAAACACAGCUCUCUGCGAAGCCGUAAGGCGAAGUAUAGGGGGUGACACCUGCCCGGUGCUGGAAGGUUAAGGAGAGGGGUUAGCGUAAGCGAAGCUCUGAACUGAAGCC
RNAcentral lists this ribosomal RNA (1302 nucleotides) under Bacillus tropicus. RNAcentral describes it as "partial 23S ribosomal RNA". It matches the Rfam family "Bacterial large subunit ribosomal RNA", at positions 611 to 1919 of the family's 2925-position model. Lineage: Bacteria; Bacillati; Bacillota; Bacilli; Caryophanales; Bacillaceae. The record is from RNAcentral.